AUGCCAGCCCGACACCCAGAGGCUCCUUUUCUGGCUGUUCUUUUUUUAAAGGCUUUUGGAGUCAGACCGCCAGAGAGGCAGAGAGAGAGAAAGAGACAGAGGCAGAGAAGGGAGAAGAGGAAAGAAAGAAAGAAAGAAAGAAAGAAAGAAAGAAAGAAAGAAAGAAAGAAAGAAAGAAAGAAAGAAAGAAAGAAAGAAAGAAAGAAAGAAGAAAGAAAGAAAGAAAGAAAGAAAGAAAGAAAGAAAGAAAGAAAGAAAGAAAGAAAGAAAGAAAGAAAGAAAGAAAGAAAGAAAGAAAGAAAGAAAGAAAGAAAGAAAGAAAGAAAGAAAGAAAGAAAGGAAGGAAGGAAGGAAGGAAGGAAGGAAGGAAGGAAGGAAGGAAGGAAGGAAGGAAAGAAGAAAGAAGGAAAGAAGGAAAGAAGAAAGAAAGAAGGAAGGAAGGAAGAAAAGAAAGAAAAAGAAAGAAGGAAAGAAGGAAAAAAGAAAGAAAGAAAGAAAGAAAAGGAAAGAGACCAUGACAUCAUCCUUGCUCUGGAGUGGGUGUCAGUCAAAGGUGGGGUAUGGAACAUAGUUAAAAGUUGGCAUAUUUCAAGCCUUUUGGAAUUGGAACAAGGGAAGCACAGAAAAGAUACUCUAGAAAAAUGUCUGAAAGAAAGCAUUAACUCCUGGCAGGAUAGGGGAAAGCUUCAUGGAGGAGAUAUUAUGUGGGCUGGACCUUGAGGGAAAGUAAGAAGAAAGAUGUGGGAGACAGUGUCUCCUAGACAAAUGUGAGGACCUGUGGGAACUCAUCUCUUGGGACAGGAGCUUAGAGCUAAGCAAAUGGGUAGUUCCAGUUUGGCUUGAAUGUAUGGUGCAUGUAAAGAUGUGAUGAAUUGUGGAGGGUUUAAAAAAUGGAGUUCAUAUUUUACCAUGUAGACAAUAGAGAACCAGUGAAGCUUCACUGCUAGAUGAGGAAUGUGGUCAACUUCAAGAAACUGAUUGUGGCAGUGAUUCAGUAGGUAUCCAGGAGAAAGGAAAAAUUUGGUAUCAGGGGGUAAGCUAUGAGGCUAUCCUAAUAGUACAGGUCACACAGAAUCAUGCCUGAAUGAGGGUAAUGCCCUCUGAAUUUAGAUAGGGGGGUAGAUGCAAGAGACUACUUUGAUGAACACAGAGGUCUGCUUGGGGAUGGAGGAAAUGCCAAGGCUUUACCUUUGGCAGGGAGUCGAAGGGAGAGGAGACAUAAAUAACAUCCUCUUUCCUCUAUGUUAUCAGAGAGGACAAAGUGGUCUAUGACUUGUAAGGAUAAUUUAGGGUUGUGACCUAAUCUAAGUUUGAUUUUUGGUCACCAGGGGAUAUCCCAAAUAAAAUACCCAAGUCAGUUUGGAAAUAUAUAGUG
This 1375-nucleotide long non-coding RNA is filed under the name Monodelphis domestica (gray short-tailed opossum). Its description in RNAcentral is "lncRNA (ENSMODG00000042190.1)". The record is from RNAcentral. Lineage: Eukaryota; Metazoa; Chordata; Mammalia; Didelphimorphia; Didelphidae.